AAAAUUUGGUCUUGGUUUUAACUUAGCUGUAAUUGAUUAAAAUACAUGAUAGUUUUGCGAGACUGUACAUAAUUGGCUUUUUUUUUAUGUAUUUAAAUAAUAUAUUUAAAUUAAGUCUUUCUUAUCAAAUAAAUUUAUGACAAGGAUAUAUACAACAUCAGUAUAAAAGUUUAUAUAAUAAGGGAACUUUGUUUUAGAUAUUAUUAAAUAAGCUAGUAAAAUUUGUGCCAGCAACUGCGGUUAGACAAUGGGCUAGAGUUAAGUUUAUUACGGUAAAAAAUAGUUAUAAUGGAAAUUGUCAAUUUACGUAGUAUUAAAAGGUAAAAUUUAGAAAUAUUUUAGUAAUCUUAUUUUUGACUUUAUUUAGAGGCUAUGAAGACUUAGAGUAAGACUGGGAUUAGAUACCCCAUUAUUUAAGUUGUAAAGUUAAUUUACCUGGGUAUUACGAAUAAUUAUAAUAUUAAGUUUAAAAUCUAAAAGACUUGGCGGUGCUUUAAAACUUUCUAGGGGAGCCUGUCCUAUAAUUGAUAAUCCGCGUUAGACCUAACUUUAUUUUAUAGUUUGUGUACUGCCGUCAUCAGCUUACACUUAAGGGGAUUGUAGUUAGCUAAAUAAUAUUUAAGUUAUUAUGUCAGGUCAAAGUGCAGCUAAUAAUAAAGGUGAGAUGGGCUACAAUUCUUAAUUAGAUUCUUUAGAUUCAUUGAAAUUUGAGUUGAAAGUUGGACUUGGAAGUAAUAUUAAUAUUAGAAUAAUUUUAUGAAGUGAGCUCUAAAGUGUGUACAUAUCGCCCGUCGCUCUCUUUUAAUAAGGGAUAAGUCGUAACAUAGUAGGGGUAGCUGAAGCUGUUCCUU
Molecule: non-coding RNA, 851 nt
Filed under: Chiton albolineatus
Lineage: Eukaryota; Metazoa; Mollusca; Polyplacophora; Chitonida; Chitonidae
Source: RNAcentral